CCUACGGGGGGCUGCAGUGAGGAAUAUUGGUCAAUGGACGAGAGUCUGAACCAGCCAAGCAGCGUGAAGGAUGACGGCCCUAUGGGUUGUAAACUUCUUUUUUCUGGGAAUAAAAUGUUCCACGUGUGGGAUUCUGUAUGUACCAUAUGAAUAAGGAUCGGCUACCUCCGUGCCAGCAGCCGCGGUAAUACGGAGGAUCCGAGCGUUAUCCGGAUUUAUUGGGUUUAAAGGGAGCGUAGGUGGGUUGUUAAGUCAGUUGUGAAAGGUUGCGGCUCAACCGUAGAAUUGCAGUUGAAACUGGCAGUCUGGAGUACAGGAGAGGUGGGCGGAAUGCGUGGUGUAGCGGUGAAAUGCUUAGAUAUCACGAAGAACACCGAUUGCGAAGGCAGCUCACUGGACCGCAACUGACGCUGAGGCUCGAAAGUGUGGGUAUCAAACAGGAUUAGAUACCCCGGUAGUC
This 460-nucleotide ribosomal RNA is filed under the name uncultured bacterium. RNAcentral describes it as "partial 16S ribosomal RNA". It matches the Rfam family "Bacterial small subunit ribosomal RNA", at positions 338 to 795 of the family's 1533-position model. The record is from RNAcentral.